This 440-nucleotide ribosomal RNA is filed under the name uncultured bacterium. RNAcentral's name for it is "partial 16S ribosomal RNA". It matches the Rfam family "Bacterial small subunit ribosomal RNA", at positions 338 to 795 of the family's 1533-position model. The record is from RNAcentral.
CCUACGGGGUGCAGCAGUGGGGAAUAUUGCACAAUGGGGGAAACCCUGAUGCAGCGACGCCGCGUGAGUGAAGAAGUAUUUCGGUAUGUAAAGCUCUAUCAGCAGGGAAGAAAAUGACGGUACCUGAGUAAGAAGCCCCGGCUAACUCCGUGCCAGCAGCCGCGGGAAGACGUAGGGGGCAAGCGUUAUCCGGAUUUACUGGGUGUAAAGGGAGCGUAGAGGGCAGCACAAGUCUGGCGUGAAAUGCCGGGGCUUAACCCCGGAACUGCUUUGGAAACUGUGCAGCUAGAGUGCAGGAGCGGUCAGUGGAAUUCCUAGUGUAGCGGUGAAAUGCGUAGAUAUUAGGAGGAACACCAGUGGCGAAGGCGGCUUACUGGACUGUAACUGACGUUGUGGCUCGAAAGCGUGGGGAGCAAACAGGAUUAGAUACCCCUGUAGUC